Molecule: ribosomal RNA, 246 nt
Filed under: uncultured bacterium
Lineage: Bacteria
Description: partial 16S ribosomal RNA
Rfam family: Bacterial small subunit ribosomal RNA
Source: RNAcentral
AAAGUUUGAUCAUGGCUCAGGACGAACGCUGGCGGCGCGCCUAACACAUGCAAGUCGAACGGAGAUUACAGGCGGAAGUUUUCGGAUGGAAGCUUGUAAACUUAGUGGCGGACGGGUGAGUAACACGUGAGACAACCUGCCUAUCAGAGGGGGAUAACGAUUGGAAACGAUCGCUAAUACCGCAUGACAUAGCGGAAUCGCAUGGUUCUGUUAUCAAAGAUUUUAUCGCUGAUAGAUGGGCUCGCG